CGAAAACUAACCAGCCACAAAAAAACCUAAACCUAUCGCCCGCACGUACAAUCGACGACUCCUGCCCUAGAGCGAGGUCUCCCUUCGCCGCCGCCCUUCAUCCCUUCGCCACCGCCGCUCCACCCAGAGCCGCCGUCUUCCCCGCUGUCGCCGCCCUCUUCCCUCCCACCCCGAGCCGCCGUCUUCCCCGCCCGCGCCGCUCUCUUCCCCAUCGGUGCUACCCUCCACUCACCUUCUGUUCUUCAAGCGGGAACGCCCCAGAUCGAGUCGAGCAAGUCAGCGGGGCAGCGGCCAGAUCCGCCACGGCCACAUCUCCUUGGUGUUGUUGUCCUCAAUAGGCUAAUGACUCGAGGCAUGCUGUUAGCACAAUUACAGAAGGCCAUACAGUCAGCGGCAAAGUGCUCGCCAUCGCUAAUGAUUGACUGCUGAGUAUCUCCAUUGGGGGAUUUAGCUACCUGCUCAAAUAAGAUGGUCAAUAGUUGUUCCUGUGAUCCAUUCUAUGGAUGAAGAAGGAGAAGACGAAGGAACACAAUAAUUUCUGUGUCAUAUUAUUUGUUUCUGAUGUGGCUACUCUGGAAUACAAUUUAUGGGCGAGAGAUCAGACUUUCAGGACCCUGCUCUUUUAACUGAAAAACUGGGAGCACUAGCAGUUCUUCACAAGGAAAGUGGAUUGGACAAUGCCGCUAGCUCGGAUGGUGCCCCAUAUGGAUGUCGAUCAUGGGCGACGUGAGGAGGGACAAGGUAGAGAAAGGGGUCUGGUUGGCGCCGCAUUAGAGGUGAGAGAGGGGGCCGGGGUUGCGUCGCCGCCGAGAUGCGCGAGGGGAUCGGAGCUGUGCCAAGCGGAUUCAUCAAAGCACUUCGCUCCUGCUGCCUUUGGCUUGAUGCUUAGAUGGAUUGAUGCGUAAGUUUGAAUCCUUUCAUUUUUCACUUCUCUAAUGGGUGGCUGAUGGCCUGAUGCUUUGAUGGAUCGAUGCAUGCUAGAACUGGCUGAUAUGUGCGUGUGUGUGCACAUUUUUUUUCUUGUGAUUUUUGUAGAGAUUGGCUCAUGCUUCUCUGCUUAUGGAUAUCUUCUUUCUUCUAUCAUGCACUGACGCUGCCACCAGAAGAUAGCUCAUAGAUGCAUGUGUUUGCUUUUGAACAUGAUUUGUCGGGUCAGGGAUCCUUCAGAUUUGUCGGGUCAGGGAUCCUUCAGUUUUGUUGGAUCAGAAGUAAGAGCACCGGGACUUCAAGGACGAUGUAGAUUGUCGAAGGCUAAGUUACAGAGUGCGUGGGCAGCAGUACCAGAGCAAGAACCUCGCGCGUGACGGAGUUGCUGUGGUAAAGAAGCAAAACUCAAUGACUAACUCUACAAGCUCUGGUCACUCUCUUAAACAUCACUAACGUUGGCAUGCAUAUUACUAAAUUUGGUCAAGCAACCCGCCAACAGAUACAAAGAAGGGUUAUAUGUCUUCUGAUCAUCUUGAUGGCAUAUAUGAGGACCUGCAAUACCGAACCUGGAAGUUAGUCGUUGAGGCAGUGGUCAUGGUAGUGAUAUCUACUACCAGAACAUAAACGUUCGGCCCUCCUUUUUGCCACGAAGGAUUAUGAUCAACUGGACUUGCAGAACCAGUUAAUGGCAUGAUGCUGGCAGUAGUAAUGGAGGGUUGUGAUUUCUGGAUGGUAAAUUCUGAAUUGGAAAUGAUAUUUUCUAAUGUAUUCAUACAGUUAGAUAAUAUCAUAUAGAUUUUCUUCUCUUACCUAGAACGUCUGCCAUGUAAAGCAUGCUUCCCUUUGAUUUGCUGUUGUGCUAGGAAUAGGACGCAUUGGCGUCCUCUUUUCAUGAAAAACACUGACACAAAGUUUCUGGUUUCUGACGUACAAGGAUUAUUUACUAUGAACAAAUAUUGCAAUGUUCAUUGGUAGUACUGUUUGUUGAGGCGAUGCCUCUGCCACAGAACACGGCAUGGCUAAUUAGUAAUUGCACUACAUUCCUAAUAACUUCUAAACUUUUGGGAGGCAUGGCAAUGUUCUUUGACGUCAUUGUAAGGGACGAGGACAUUUUGUGAGAGAAUGCCAAUCUCAGCGUGUGAUGAUUUCUACUGAGGAUGGUGGGUAUGAGUCCGCUAGUGACUAUGAUGAGGAGACUUUGGCUCUUAUUACACAUGAAGAACACGGUGGAGAGGAUUCUGAUCAUGAGACACAAUACAUGG
Molecule: non-coding RNA, 2189 nt
Organism: Triticum urartu
Lineage: Eukaryota; Viridiplantae; Streptophyta; Magnoliopsida; Poales; Poaceae
Source: RefSeq, a predicted model, not a curated record